GUCCAGCUGGGCUGAUUUUCUUAUGGAGGAGAGCAAAGGGAGAGUGUCUUCAGAAAAAUUGCCAAGCUGUCACUGCAGGAUGUGAGGUUUCUUUGGCUGUUUGUUGAAAAUGAUAUCCUACAGCUUGUUGAUCAGCUUUUCAUCUGUUCUGAGGUGCUGCUUUUUAGAGCUCUGAGAAGAGUGACUGUGAAAGAGAUGACUUUGGUCUCCAGAACACUCGCUGUUGAAUGAGGGAGAAGUUUCUAAUUGGACGCCUUGUUGGGCAAUGAUUCCUCUCAAAAGAAACUACUGGGGACUACUAAUGGAAAGAAGUUGGAAUACCUUUCAAAAAAAAAAAUCCUGUUUGAAACAGAGCAUCUCUGGUAGUAGUAGAAUUGUUCUUCCUGGAAAAGCUUUAUGUACAUCCGAUAGGAACAGCAGCACCAGCUGAGGCAUUAAAAAUAAUGUGAAGGUGUUGCGGCAGAAGUUGAGCUAUCGUAGUUCUGGCAACACAGCUUUGAGAAGACACCUCGUAUUCUUCCUUGAAAGGCCAUGGACCUAGAACUUUGCUGUGCACAGUCUCCUGAGUGAAUGAAGGAAUACUGCUGCAGUACAAAAACUUUCGGAAGAGUUGAAAUGUAAGAGGCUUUGGCACUUGAGCUGCUAAUUCGGCCUUGGAGACUUCUGACAUGGUCCAAUUUCCCAAGCUAAGACCUUUUGCAAGGUCUUGGUAGGGUUUAAAAAGAGUUACUUCUGCUGCUUCUGGGUGACAGAAUCGAUCCUGAUUUCAAGAUGAUGUACUAGGCUUUAAACUCUUCUGUCCUCUGGAAGAAGAGACUUGCUUUUUUGAAGGGACAGGUGCCACACUUUUCCAUAUUUAAAUCUAUGAUGAUUAUGGUGUUGCCUCUGUUUUGGUACCUACUGCAGGAUGAAGUAUGAUUGUAUUGAGAAUAUAGGC
Long non-coding RNA from Gymnogyps californianus (California condor), 937 nucleotides. RefSeq lists it as uncharacterized. NCBI's taxonomy places the organism in Eukaryota, Metazoa, Chordata, Aves, Accipitriformes, Cathartidae. The record is from RefSeq and is a predicted model, not a curated record. The transcript has 5 exons.